AUUGAACGCUGGCGGCAGGCCUAACACAUGCAAGUCGAACGAGUGGCGGAGGGGUGAGUAAUGUCUGGGAAACUGCCUGAUGGAGGGGGAUAACUACUGGAAACGGUAGCUAAUACCGCAUACCAUCGGAUGUGCCCAGAUGGGAUUAGCUAGUAGGUGGGGUAACGGCUCACCUAGGCAACGAUCCCUAGCUGGUCUGAGAGGAUGAUCAGCCACACUGGAACUGAGACACGGUCCAGACUCCUACGGGAGGCAGCAGUGGGGAAUAUUGCGCAAUGGGCGAAAGCCUGACGCAGCCAUGCCGCGUGUAUGAAGAAGGCCUUCGGGUCGUAAAGUACUUUUAGUAGGGAGGCGGUACCCGCAGAAGAAGCACCGGCUAACUCCGUGCCAGCAGCCGCGGUAAUAC
This 406-nucleotide ribosomal RNA is filed under the name uncultured bacterium. RNAcentral describes it as "partial 16S ribosomal RNA". It matches the Rfam family "Bacterial small subunit ribosomal RNA", at positions 30 to 526 of the family's 1533-position model. The record is from RNAcentral.